This 451-nucleotide ribosomal RNA is filed under the name Flavobacterium sp. B1(2016). RNAcentral's name for it is "bacterial SSU rRNA". It matches the Rfam family "Bacterial small subunit ribosomal RNA", at positions 30 to 480 of the family's 1533-position model. The record is from RNAcentral. Lineage: Bacteria; Pseudomonadati; Bacteroidota; Flavobacteriia; Flavobacteriales; Flavobacteriaceae.
UGAACGCUAGCGGCAGGCUAACACAUGCAAGUCGAGGGGUAGAGUUUCUUCGGAACUUGAGACCGGCGCACGGGUGCGUAACGCGUAUGCAAUCUACCUUAUACAGGGGAAUAGCCCAGAGAAAUUUGGAUUAAUGCCCUCAUAGUAUUAUUGAAUCGCAUGGUUUAAUAAUUAAAGUUCCAACGGUAUAAGAUGAGCAUGCGUCCCAUUAGUUAGUUGGUAAGGUAACGGCUUACCAAGACAAUGAUGGGUAGGGGUCCUGAGAGCGGGAGAUCCCCCACACUGGUACUGAGACACGGACCAGACUCCUACGGGAGGCAGCAGUGAGGAAUAUUGGUCAAUGGGCGCAAGCCUGAACAGCCAUGCCGCGUGCAGGAAGAAGCAUCUAUGGUGUGUAAACUGCUUUUAUACAGGAAGAAACAACGCUACGUGUAGCGUCUUGACGGUACUG